Molecule: transfer RNA, 70 nt
Filed under: Psychophora sabini
Lineage: Eukaryota; Metazoa; Arthropoda; Insecta; Lepidoptera; Geometridae
Description: tRNA-Cys
Source: RNAcentral
AGCUUUGUAGUCAAAAAAAAUGAUAUAAAAUUGCAAAUUUUAAGUUAUAAAUAAAUUAUUAUUAAGGCUU